GACGAACGCUGGCGGCGUGCUUAACACAUGCAAGUCGAACGAAAAUACCAAGCUUGCUUGGUUGAUUAGUGGCGAACGGGUGAGUAACACGUGAGUAACCUGCCCCUUACUUUCCUGGAUAACUGCUCGAAAGGGUAGCUAAUACGGGAUAUUCUGACCAGCCUGCAUGGGUUGGUUUGGAAAGGUUGUUUUUCUGGUAAGGGAUGGGCUCGCGGCCUAUCAGCUUGUUGGUGGGGUGAUGGCCUACCAAGGCUUUGACGGGUAGCCGGCCUGAGAGGGUGGACGGUCACACUGGGACUGAGAUACGGCCCAGACUCCUACGGGAGGCAGCAGUGGGGAAUAGUGCACAAGGGGCGCAAGCCUGAUGCAGCGACGCCGCGUGAGGGAUGAAGGCCUUCGGGUUGUAAACCUCUUUCGUCAGGGAACAAGGCACUGCUUUUUUGGUGGUGUUGAGGGUACCUGGAUAAGAAGCGCCGGCUAACUACGUG
Molecule: ribosomal RNA, 488 nt
Filed under: uncultured bacterium
Lineage: Bacteria
Description: partial 16S ribosomal RNA
Rfam family: Bacterial small subunit ribosomal RNA
Source: RNAcentral